RNAcentral lists this ribosomal RNA (420 nucleotides) under uncultured bacterium. Its description in RNAcentral is "bacterial SSU rRNA". It matches the Rfam family "Bacterial small subunit ribosomal RNA", at positions 28 to 438 of the family's 1533-position model. The record is from RNAcentral.
GACGAACGCUAGCGGCAGGCUUAACACAUGCAAGUCGAGGGGCAGCGUGAGGGUUAGCAAUAACCCUUGACGGCGACCGGCGCAAGGGUGCGUAACGCGUGAGCAACUUGCCCUUAUCAGGGGGAUAACCGGUGGAAACGCCGACUAAUACCCCAUAGUAUCAAUAUAAGGCAUCUUUUAUUGAUUAAAGAAUUUCGGAAACGGAUAGGCUCGCGUGACAUUAGCUAGAUGGCGGGGUAACGGCCCACCAUGGCGACGAUGUCUAGGGGUUCUGAGAGGAAGGUCCCCCACACUGGAACUGAGACACGGUCCAAACUCCUACGGGAGGCAGCAGUGAGGAAUAUUGGUCAAUGGUCGAGAGACUGAACCAGCCAAAGUCGCGUGAGGGAAGACUGCCCUAUGGGUUGUAAACCUCUUUAG